Molecule: long non-coding RNA, 556 nt
Organism: Cephus cinctus (wheat stem sawfly)
Lineage: Eukaryota; Metazoa; Arthropoda; Insecta; Hymenoptera; Cephidae
Exons: 2
Source: RefSeq, a predicted model, not a curated record
CAAGAAUGGCUACAGGUUUAUCAGCAACGUCCUCCAAAUUUGCGAAUCACGUGUGAUCUCCAAAGCAGAAGUUGACAACGAGAACUGAGUCAACGGAUCGCGUCACCCAUAAAUCAUCAUUUUCACGUUAAGAAAUCCUAGGACUGCGGUCACGUAAUAAAACUCUAGGCAGUGUAACAGGAGCAAGCAGUUACAUCGAACGAUUUACAAAAUAACAUUGGCAUCUGGAUCACAGAAAUACCCGGUUAUAUAGAGAGAACCAGCUCUGGAUACAAAAAAAUGUAUAUAUCAACUUCUGAAUAUUAUUUUCUUCUCUCGUUGGUUAUUGUCCCAGUGUAUUUAUUUUUUAAGCUUUGGUCAUGGCUUGGUUGGGAGUUAUUUGUUAAUAAUUAAAUAGUAUAUAUUAUAACUUUGUAUGCUUUGAACAUUUGUUAUUCUCAAAUUUGUCUAUAUCUGUUAGACUAUUUCACUUUGUCUCUUCGAGUUCUUUAAGUUAAUUGUUGUGGGUUAAAAUUUUCUUUUUGAUAAUCAUUAAUUAAAAACUAUAUCACCCUUA